RNAcentral lists this ribosomal RNA (1410 nucleotides) under Staphylococcus epidermidis. Its description in RNAcentral is "partial 23S ribosomal RNA". It matches the Rfam family "Bacterial large subunit ribosomal RNA", at positions 1499 to 2909 of the family's 2925-position model. Lineage: Bacteria; Bacillati; Bacillota; Bacilli; Caryophanales; Staphylococcaceae. The record is from RNAcentral.
UUGGAGUGCACGUCCAAGCAGUAAGGCUGAGUGUUAGGCAAAUCCGGCACUCAUAAGGCUGAGCUGUGAUGGGGAGAGGAAAUUGUUUCCUCGAGUCGUUGAUUUCACACUGCCGAGAAAAGCCUCUAGAUAGAUAACAGGUGCCCGUACCGCAAACCGACACAGGUAGUCAAGAUGAGAAUUCUAAGGUGAGCGAGCGAACUCUCGUUAAGGAACUCGGCAAAAUGACCCCGUAACUUCGGGAGAAGGGGUGCUCUUUAGGGUUCACGCCCAGAAGAGCCGCAGUGAAUAGGCCCAAGCGACUGUUUAUCAAAAACACAGGUCUCUGCUAAACCGUAAGGUGAUGUAUAGGGGCUGACGCCUGCCCGGUGCUGGAAGGUUAAGAGGAGUGGUUAGCUUCUGCGAAGCUACGAAUCGAAGCCCCAGUAAACGGCGGCCGUAACUAUAACGGUCCUAAGGUAGCGAAAUUCCUUGUCGGGUAAGUUCCGACCCGCACGAAAGGCGUAACGAUUUGGGCACUGUCUCAACGAGAGACUCGGUGAAAUCAUAGUACCUGUGAAGAUGCAGGUUACCCGCGACAGGACGGAAAGACCCCGUGGAGCUUUACUGUAGCCUGAUAUUGAAAUUCGGCACAGCUUGUACAGGAUAGGUAGGAGCCUUUGAAACGUGAGCGCUAGCUUACGUGGAGGCGUUGGUGGGAUACUACCCUAGCUGUGUUGGCUUUCUAACCCGCACCACUUAUCGUGGUGGGAGACAGUGUCAGGCGGGCAGUUUGACUGGGGCGGUCGCCUCCUAAAAGGUAACGGAGGCGCUCAAAGGUUCCCUCAGAAUGGUUGGAAAUCAUUCAUAGAGUGUAAAGGCAUAAGGGAGCUUGACUGCGAGACCUACAAGUCGAGCAGGGUCGAAAGACGGACUUAGUGAUCCGGUGGUUCCGCAUGGAAGGGCCAUCGCUCAACGGAUAAAAGCUACCCCGGGGAUAACAGGCUUAUCUCCCCCAAGAGUUCACAUCGACGGGGAGGUUUGGCACCUCGAUGUCGGCUCAUCGCAUCCUGGGGCUGUAGUCGGUCCCAAGGGUUGGGCUGUUCGCCCAUUAAAGCGGUACGCGAGCUGGGUUCAGAACGUCGUGAGACAGUUCGGUCCCUAUCCGUCGUGGGCGUAGGAAAUUUGAGAGGAGCUGUCCUUAGUACGAGAGGACCGGGAUGGACAUACCUCUGGUGUACCAGUUGUCGUGCCAACGGCAUAGCUGGGUAGCUAUGUAUGGACGGGAUAAGUGCUGAAAGCAUCUAAGCAUGAAGCCCCCCUCAAGAUGAGAUUUCCCAACUUCGGUUAUAAGAUCCCUCGAAGAUGACGAGGUUAAUAGGUUCGAGGUGGAAGCGUGGUGACACGUGGAGCUGACGAAUACUAAUCGAU